ACGAACGCUGGCGGCGUGCUUAACACAUGCAAGUCGAACGGUGAAGCGCCUUCCUUUUUGGUGGGUGUGGAUGAGUGGCGAACGGGUGAGUAACACGUGAGUAACCUGCCCCCUUCUUCUGGAUAACCGCAUGAAAGUGUGGCUAAUACGGGAUAUUCUGGGUCUGUCGCAUGAUGGGUCUGGGAAAGAUAUUGUUUCGGUGGGGGAUGGGCUCGCGGCCUAUCAGCUUGUUGGUGGGGUGAUGGCCUACCAAGGCGGUGACGGGUAGCCGGCCUGAGAGGGUGGACGGUCACACUGGGACUGAGACACGGCCCAGACUCCUACGGGAGGCAGCAAUGGGGAAUAUUGCACAAUGGGCGCAAGCCUGAUGCAGCGACGCCGCGUGAGGGAUGGAGGCCUUCGGGUUGUGAACCUCUUUCGCCAGUGAAGCAGGCCUGCCUCGUUUGUGGGUGGGUUGACGGUAGCUGGAUAAGAAGCGCCGGCUAACUACGUG
RNAcentral lists this ribosomal RNA (493 nucleotides) under uncultured bacterium. RNAcentral describes it as "partial 16S ribosomal RNA". It matches the Rfam family "Bacterial small subunit ribosomal RNA", at positions 29 to 507 of the family's 1533-position model. The record is from RNAcentral.